This 344-nucleotide unclassified non-coding RNA is filed under the name soil metagenome. RNAcentral's name for it is "partial contains 5.8S ribosomal RNA, internal transcribed spacer 2, and large subunit ribosomal RNA". The stretch from base 1 to 120 matches the Rfam family "5.8S ribosomal RNA", at positions 35 to 154 of the family's 154-position model. The record is from RNAcentral.
GAUGAAGAACGUAGUGAAAUGCGAUACGUAAUGUGAAUUGCAGAAUUCAGUGAAUCAUCGAGUCUUUGAACGCACAUUGCGCCCCCUGGUAUUCCGGGGGGCAUGCCUGUCCGAGCGUCAUUGCUGCCCUCAAGCACGGCUUGUGUGUUGGGCCUCCGUCCUCCUCCCGGGGGACGGGCCCGAAAGGCAGCGGCGGCACCGCGUCCGGUCCUCGAGCGUAUGGGGCUUCGUCACCCGCUCUUGUAGGCCCGGUCGGCGCUUGCCGACACAUCAAUCUUUUUUCCAGGUUGACCUCGGAUCAGGUAGGGAUACCCGCUGAACUUAAGCAUAUCAAAAGCGGAGGA